AAUGCUUUAAAGAAAUCACAAGAUUAUUUUAUUUAUGUUUUGUAGGUGCAAAGAAUAGCUGCUGAUGUGGAGAAAUGUUCGAUGCUUCAAGACUCUGAAGCUGAUUUUAUUAGGUCCACCCAGUGGCUUUUGACUAUUUGAGGGUCAGAUGGUUGUGAAUUCAUACCUCAACAUUGUGCGUCCCGGGAGCAGGCAUCUUUUGUACACAUUAAAUUUUUUCAAAGAUGUUUUCUUGGAAUCACAACACUCACUGGAUACAAGACGGAAACAUAGAGGCAAAACAAGUGGAAAAGUCUCAGAAGAGGGACAACCCUCAUGUGUGUGCUCAUCUCAGAGAGUUGAUGGACUUUCAGUAUGUAUUUAUUAAAUUGUCUUUUGCAGGACUAUUCUUAAUUUAAUAGAACAUAAGCUCAAACAACAGAAUUUGUGAUUUAAUGUUGAUUCCAGCAUUUCAUUUGAAUCCUUUUCUUUAAAACAUAUAUUUUUUUUAAAUUUUAACAUUUUUUUAAAAAUUAUACAAAUUCUGUUGAUUGACCUUCAUUUUUAUAGAAAGUUAAUGUUCUACUCUGAAUAUGGCUUUUUUUAAAUAGUUAUUUGUGAUGCUAUGCUAUUUUUAUGAUAAGAUUUAACUGUUGAAAGACUGAAAAUUUUAUUUUACCAGUAAAAGCCUUGCAAUGUCUUUCUGCCAGUUUUAAUAAAUACUUAUUUGCAUCAUCAUUGACUUGGUUUUCAUUCAUUUGUAAAU
Long non-coding RNA from Carassius gibelio (silver crucian carp), 745 nucleotides. RefSeq lists it as uncharacterized. The transcript is spliced from 3 exons. The record is from RefSeq and is a predicted model, not a curated record. NCBI's taxonomy places the organism in Eukaryota, Metazoa, Chordata, Actinopteri, Cypriniformes, Cyprinidae.